Molecule: transfer RNA, 68 nt
Filed under: Rhipiphorothrips cruentatus
Lineage: Eukaryota; Metazoa; Arthropoda; Insecta; Thysanoptera; Thripidae
Description: tRNA-Tyr
Rfam family: tRNA
About the family: Transfer RNA (tRNA) molecules are approximately 80 nucleotides in length. Their secondary structure includes four short double-helical elements and three loops (D, anti-codon, and T loops). Further hydrogen bonds mediate the characteristic L-shaped molecular structure. tRNAs have two regions of fundamental functional importance: the anti-codon, which is responsible for specific mRNA codon recognition, and the 3' end, to which the tRNAs corresponding amino acid is attached (by aminoacyl-tRNA synthetases). tRNAs cope with the degeneracy of the genetic code in two manners: having more than one tRNA (with a specific anti-codon) for a particular amino acid; and 'wobble' base-pairing, i.e. permitting non-standard base-pairing at the 3rd anti-codon position.
Source: RNAcentral
AAUGAGAUGGCUGAGUAAGGUGAUAAAUUGUAAAUUUAUUAAUGAAAAUUAAUUUUUUUCUCUCAUUA